Molecule: ribosomal RNA, 512 nt
Filed under: uncultured bacterium
Lineage: Bacteria
Description: bacterial SSU rRNA
Rfam family: Bacterial small subunit ribosomal RNA
Source: RNAcentral
CGCUGGCGGCGUGCUUAACACAUGCAAGUCGAACGAGACGAUUUAAGCUUGCUUAGAUGAGUCGAGUGGCAAACGGUGAGUAACGCGUAGACAACCUGCCGCAAAGAUGGGGACAACAGUCCGAAAGGACUGCUAAUACCGAAUGUUGUCAAGCUUCCGCAUGGGAGUUUGAUUAAAGAUGGCCUCUACUUGUAAGCUAUCGCUUUGCGAUGGGUCUGCGUCUGAUUAGCUAGUUGGUGGGGUAACGGCCUACCAAGGCGACGAUCGGUAGCCGGUCUGAGAGGAUGAACGGCCACAUUGGGACUGAGACACGGCCCAGACUCCUACGGGAGGCAGCAGUGGGGAAUCUUCCGCAAUGGGCGCAAGCCUGACGGAGCAACGCCGCGUGAAGUGAGGAAGUUCUUCGGAACGUAAAGCUCUGUUGUUCCUGACGAACCUCCCCUUUAUCAACAACGGAGGGGACUGACGGUAGGGAACGAGGAAGCCACGGCUAACUACGUGCCAGCAGCUGC